Molecule: ribosomal RNA, 940 nt
Filed under: Streptomyces albidoflavus
Lineage: Bacteria; Bacillati; Actinomycetota; Actinomycetes; Kitasatosporales; Streptomycetaceae
Also listed under: 3 other names
Description: partial 23S ribosomal RNA
Rfam family: Bacterial large subunit ribosomal RNA
Source: RNAcentral
GAGUUGCACGCUCUAGACCCGAAGCGGAGUGAUCUAGCCAUGGGCAGGUUGAAGCGGCUGUAAGAGGUCGUGGAGGACCGAACCCACCAGGGUUGAAAACCUGGGGGAUGACCUGUGGUUAGGGGUGAAAGGCCAAUCAAACUCCGUGAUAGCUGGUUCUCCCCGAAAUGCAUUUAGGUGCAGCGUCGUGUGUUUCUUGCCGGAGGUAGAGCACUGGAUAGGCGAUGGGCCCUACCGGGUUACUGACCUUAGCCAAACUCCGAAUGCCGGUAAGUGAGAGCGCGGCAGUGAGACUGUGGGGGAUAAGCUCCAUGGUCGAGAGGGAAACAGCCCAGAGCAUCGACUAAGGCCCCUAAGCGUACGCUAAGUGGGAAAGGAUGUGGAGUCGCAGAGACAACCAGGAGGUUGGCUUAGAAGCAGCCACCCUUGAAAGAGUGCGUAAUAGCUCACUGGUCUAGUGAUUCCGCGCCGACAAUGUAGCGGGGCUCAAGCGUACCGCCGAAGUCGUGUCAUUGCAGCAAUACUCCCAACGGAGGCUGUGAUGGGUAGGGGAGCGUCGUGUGCCGGGUGAAGCAGCCGUGGAAGCGAGUUGUGGACGGUUCACGAGUGAGAAUGCAGGCAUGAGUAGCGAUUCACACGUGAGAAACGUGUGCGCCGAUUGACUAAGGGUUCCUGGGUCAAGCUGAUCUGCCCAGGGUAAGUCGGGACCUAAGGCGAGGCCGACAGGCGUAGUCGAUGGAUAACCGGUUGAUAUUCCGGUACCCGCUGUGAAGCGUCAAACAUUGAAUCCAGUGAUGCUAAGCCCGUGAAGCCGUUCCGGACCCUUCGGGGAAUGGAAAGUGGUGGAGCCGGUGGCCCGAGCUGGUAGUAGGUGAGUGAUGGGGUGACGCAGGAAGGUAGUCCAUCCCGGGCGGUGGUUGUCCCGGGGUAAGGGUGUAGG